Long non-coding RNA from Helianthus annuus (common sunflower), 540 nucleotides. RefSeq lists it as uncharacterized. The record is from RefSeq and is a predicted model, not a curated record. Lineage: Eukaryota; Viridiplantae; Streptophyta; Magnoliopsida; Asterales; Asteraceae. The transcript has 3 exons.
CAUCACAAUUCGUCCCUCUCUCUCUAUAACCGAAACCUCCCUAUUUUCGGUUUAUCACCAUCAUCACUUUACACCCUAAGGAGGAACCAUAUCUAAACUGACAACUAUGUCGAACUCCGUGGCUGCGUCUUUGACUGGAUUCUCUACUGAUGCAAUCAAAGAAAUCUGAAAUUGAGGAAAUGGUGAAGGCGUUGGAGGGUUUGAACCCGAAUCCGAACCCGGCUGUUUAUCUUGAUAAGGUUUCCUUACAAAUUUCGCCACGGGUACAUUUCUUGUUAGAGCAGCAAAGGAUGAUUAAACUAUGCCGGCGGAAAGAUUUUAAUGCAUCAUUUUUUUUCGCGUGAGUUUUGAAUCUGAACUUGAUAGUUUUAGUUUUAAGAAUCAAUGCAUUUGACUUUCCUUCUAAUGUUGUUUGGAGAUGAUAAAGACUCCCCUGCAUCUAAACUCUUGGAUUACGGUUAUGUUACAUAAACUGGAUAACAUCUUUAGUUGUUGAGAAGAUGAUCAAAUACGAAGGGCGCAAAAAAGGUUUGAAUUAAA